RNAcentral lists this ribosomal RNA (433 nucleotides) under uncultured bacterium. Its description in RNAcentral is "partial 16S ribosomal RNA". It matches the Rfam family "Bacterial small subunit ribosomal RNA", at positions 29 to 507 of the family's 1533-position model. The record is from RNAcentral.
AACGAACGCUGGCGGCAUGCCUAACACAUGCAAGUCGAACGAAGCCUUCGGGCUUAGUGGCGCACGGGUGCGUAACGCGUGGGAAUCUGCCCCUUGCUUCGGAAUAACAGUUAGAAAUGACUGCUAAUACCGGAUGAAGUCUUCGGACCAAAGAUUUAUCGGCAAGGGAUGAGCCCGCGUAGGAUUAGGUAGUUGGUGGGGUAAAGGCCUACCAAGCCGACGAUCCUUAGCUGGUCUGAGAGGAUGAUCAGCCACACUGGGACUGAGACACGGCCCAGACUCCUACGGGAGGCAGCAGUGGGGAAUAUUGGACAAUGGGCGCAAGACUGAUCCAGCAAUGCCGCGUGAGUGAUGAAGGCCUUAGGGUUGUAAAGCUCUUUUACCAGGGAUGAUAAUGACAGUACCUGGAGAAUAAGCUCCGGCUAACUCCGUG